GAGAGAGACAUGCGCGCAUAUCAAUAAGCGGAGGAAAAGAAACUAACAAGGAUUCCCUUAGUAACGGCGAGUGAAGCGGGAAGAGCUCAAAUUUGAAAUCUUCAAGGUUUUACCUUGACGAAUUGUAGUUUAAAGAAGUGUUUUCUGCUGAAGUUUUGGUAAAAGUUCUUUGGAAUAGGACAUCAUAGAGGGUGAGAAUCCCGUAUUUGACCAUUAUUUUCAGCUUUGUGAUACACUUUCAAAGAGUCGGAUUGUUUGGGAAUGCAGUCCAAAAUGGGUGGUAAAUUUCAUCUAAAGCUAAAUAUUGGCGAGAGACCGAUAGCGAACAAGUACCGUGAGGGAAAGAUGAAAAGAACUUUGAAAAGAGAGUUAAACAGUACGUGAAAUUGUCAAAAGGGAAGCGUUUGACACCAGUGUUGUUUUCUCGAAAAUCAAUUAAAAAUGGCUCGAUUUUGUAUUGUUGAGACCUUAAAAGCUCACUGUACAUUUUUCGUGUCUUUUUUAAUGCACUUUUCGUUUAACAAGUCAACAUCAGUUUCUUUUGUUGUAAAAGGGUCAUUGGAAGGUGGCUUUCUUUUCGGAGAAAGUGUUUAUAGCCUUUGGCCUCUGCAAUCGGAAGAGACUGAGGUCUGCAGCGUAGACUCUUCGGGGUUAGAUACAUUUGUGCUAAGUUAUAGCUUUUUAUAGACGAACUUGUUGACUAUAAUUAGUCUUGUAGCUUACUCGCUUAUGCUAUUUUACCUACGCUUAGGAUGUUGAAGAUGUAGCACAUCAU
Molecule: ribosomal RNA, 775 nt
Filed under: uncultured Neocallimastigales
Lineage: Eukaryota; Fungi; Neocallimastigomycota; Neocallimastigomycetes; Neocallimastigales
Description: partial large subunit ribosomal RNA
Rfam family: Eukaryotic large subunit ribosomal RNA
Source: RNAcentral